This is an RNA transcript of Phragmites australis (common reed), 1712 nucleotides long. RefSeq lists it as uncharacterized. The record is from RefSeq and is a predicted model, not a curated record. The transcript has 3 exons. NCBI's taxonomy places the organism in Eukaryota, Viridiplantae, Streptophyta, Magnoliopsida, Poales, Poaceae.
UCCGCCUCCGUCGCGUGGCAAAGAAGAAGAGAGGGCGAACCGCCGGAGAUGGCCGCCGCCGUAGAGCCUCCUGUGAACAAGAAGUAAGACGGCGCAGAGAGCAGAGACUGUCUGGUUGUAACCGAGGCACGCCGCACGCGUCUUUCUUGUCUUGUCAAGUGAGGACGGUGGCGGUUGGGUGGAGGGGGUACGGCUGUAAGGUGCUCACGCGUCGCCGGCGGUCGAUGACGUUUCUGUUCCCGGUCAAGAACCAGCAGUGCGUGAUGGAAGUCAGGCCACCGGCGCUGGCGAGGGUGUCGAUGUUCCGGAGGCUGCUGGUGCGGGUGACCCCGGCCGAGCAGCUGGCCGGGGACGGCAAGGAGAGGGAGAAGGAUGAAAAGGCGUCGGGCGCUGGCGCCGGCGGGGAGGCAGAGGUGGGGACGGUGGGGCUGGACCGGAUGGUGCUCAGCUUCAUGGAGGACGCCGCUCCCGUGGAGCGGCCCCCGCGCGGGCGCUGCAACUGCUUCAACGGCAGCAGCGGCCACCAGGACGGCAGCGACGACGAGGAGUUCGACUUCCUCCCCUCCGCCUCCGCCCUCACCGCAGCGCCUGCCGCGGCCGGCGACGCCUUGGAGCUGCUAAAGGGUCUGGUACAGUGCGUGAGCGUGGCGGAGCAGAACCUCCUCGCCGACGCGUCGCGGAUCACCGAGCAGUGCGGCAAGGGCGGCUUCGGCCGGAAGAAGGCGGACAUCCGGCGGGCCGUGGCUGACGGCCUCCGGGCGCUCGGGUACGACGCCGCGGUGUGCCGGUCGCAGUGGGACAAGGCUUCCUCCCACCCAGCCGGCGAGCACGAGUACAUCGACGCGGUGGUGGACUCCGGGACGACCCGGCUGGUGGUGGAGGUGGACUUCCAGUCGGAGUUCGAGGUGGCGCGGCCCACCAAGGCGUACCGCGCAGCGCUGCAGGCGCUGCCCCCGCUCUUCGUUGGGACCCCUGACCGGCUCGGCCGGAUCGUCGCCGUCGUGGCCGAGACUGCGAGGCAGAGCCUCCGGAAGCGGGGCCUCCACUUCCCGCCGUGGCGCAAGCCCGAGUACAUGCGCGCCAAGUGGCUGUCCCCCCACGCCCGCAGCUGCCCCGGCAAGCCAACGCUGCCGGCACCGCCCACGCCGGUGUCCGCCGCCAGCUUCUCCGGCGAGUUCGAGCUGCGGUUCGACGACAAGGUGAAGGCACCUGACACAACCGGCGAGAAGGAGAAGCUCACGGUGGUCGUGUCGCCGUGGCGCCCGGUGGAGGCGGAGACGAGCAAGAGUAGUCCGCAGACCAAGGCGAAGGUGGUCACCGGGCUCGCCUCCGUGCUCUGAGCACGGCGUGGCGGAUCGAACAACACUCCAGCUCCAAGUGUUUUUAGCGGUUUUCCGGCUUUUUGGAAAAGAGAAAAACGGCCCCGUUUCCAUUCCCAUUUUCUGUUUCUUUUCUUUUUGCUCCUUUUUGGCUUCGGCAAAUUUUCCGGUUUCCAGUUUUUGAGUUCCUCGUCCUCCGUUGUUGAGGACGACAUGGAGAAGACUCUUGCCACUUGCCAGGUUCAUCCAAGCCUCGCCAUGAUCUGACCUGCUGGUUCUAGAACGACUGGAACUACUGUUAACGAGAGAUGUCUUGGCCUGCUGAUCAAGCCAUUAGAGGCUUGUAAUCUCAAUUUGAAGAGGGUGUAAAGAAAGUAAUUAGUAAUUACUCUA